CCAGACUCCUACGGGAGGCAGCAGUGGGGGAUAUUGCACAAUGGGGGGAACCCUGAUGCAGCGACGCCGCGUGGGUGAAGAAGCGCCUCGGCGCGUAAAGCCCUGUCAGCAGGGAAGAAAAUGACGGUACCUGAAGAAGAAGCCCCGGCUAACUACGUGCCAGCAGCCGCGGUAAUACGUAGGGGGCAAGCGUUAUCCGGAUUUACUGGGUGUAAAGGGGGCGCAGACGGCGAUGCAAGCCAGGAGUGAAAGCCCGGGGCCCAACCCCGGGACUGCUCUUGGAACUGCGUGGCUGGAGUGCAGGAGGGGCAGGCGGAAUUCCUGGUGUAGCGGUGAAAUGCUUAGAGAUCAUACAGAACGCCGAUUGCGAAGGCAGCUUACCAAUCUAUAUCUGACGUUGAGGCACGAAAGCGUGGGGAGCAAACAGGAUUAGAUACCCGGGUA
RNAcentral lists this ribosomal RNA (444 nucleotides) under uncultured bacterium. RNAcentral describes it as "bacterial SSU rRNA". It matches the Rfam family "Bacterial small subunit ribosomal RNA", at positions 331 to 792 of the family's 1533-position model. The record is from RNAcentral.